UAUAUACUGUCUCAUAUAUAUAUUAUGAAUUUAAAAUUUUAAUAAAAAUGUUAAAAUUUAUUUAUGGGACGAUAAGACCCUAUAGAAUUUUAUAUUAAUUUAUUUAUUUAAUUAAUAUAUAAUUUAAAUUAAUAUUUAAUUGGGAGGAUUAUUAAAUUUAAAUAACUUUAAUUUAUAAAAACUUAAAUUAAAGAAAAUAUUAUGAUCUUGAAUUUUAAAUUACUAGAWUAAAUUACCUUAGGGAUAACAGCGUAAUAUUUUUUUAUAGAUCUUAUAGAAAAAAAUGAUUGCGACCUCGAUGUUGAAUUAAGA
This 312-nucleotide ribosomal RNA is filed under the name Austroplebeia sp. curved_N11. Its description in RNAcentral is "partial 16S ribosomal RNA". Lineage: Eukaryota; Metazoa; Arthropoda; Insecta; Hymenoptera; Apidae. The record is from RNAcentral.